UCACACCACGAAAGCCGAUUGGACCUGAAGCCACGGGGUUUUCCUGUGCCCACGGUCUGAUUGGUGAUUGGGGUG
Molecule: ribosomal RNA, 75 nt
Filed under: uncultured eukaryote
Lineage: Eukaryota
Description: partial small subunit ribosomal RNA
Source: RNAcentral